RNAcentral lists this ribosomal RNA (253 nucleotides) under uncultured bacterium. RNAcentral's name for it is "partial 16S ribosomal RNA". It matches the Rfam family "Bacterial small subunit ribosomal RNA", at positions 524 to 776 of the family's 1533-position model. The record is from RNAcentral.
UACGGGGGGUGCAAGCGCUAUCCGGAAUCACUGGGUUUAACGGGUGCGUAGGCGGCUAAAUAAGUCAGAGGUGAAAGCUUGCGACUUAACUGCGAAAAUGCCUUUGAUACUGUAUAGCUUGAAAGAAGCUGAGGUCAGCAGAAUGUGGCAUGAAGCGGUGAAAUGCAUAGAUAUGCCAAAGAAUACCAAUUGCGAGGAAAGCUGGCUGGGCUUACUCUGACGCUGAGUCACGAUAGCGUGGGUAUCGAAGAGG